UGGCGAACGGGUGAGUAACACGUGGGCAACCUGCCCAAAAGAGGGGGAUAACACUUGGAAACAGGUGCUAAUACCGCAUAACCAUAGUUACCGCAUGGUAACUAUGUAAAAGGUGGCUAUGCUACCGCUUUUGGAUGGGCCCGCGGCGCAUUAGCUAGUUGGUGGGGUAAAGGCUUACCAGGCAAUGAUGCGUAGCCGAACUGAGAGGUUGAUCGGCCACAUUGGGACUGAGACACGGCCCAAACUCCUACGGAAGGCAGCAG
This 263-nucleotide ribosomal RNA is filed under the name uncultured bacterium. Its description in RNAcentral is "partial 16S ribosomal RNA". It matches the Rfam family "Bacterial small subunit ribosomal RNA", at positions 96 to 354 of the family's 1533-position model. The record is from RNAcentral.